CCUGGCGAGGCGGUUGGCCCUCCGACCAAUCAGAGUGAAUGAGAGGCGGGACUUGAUUAUACCACGUGAUCAUCCUCGCGGACAGCGCGGCUGUGCGGGCGGAGAGCUGUCGGAUGAGGCUGUCACUGGCUCGGCCAGCAUUUAUUGCUGCGUUUACCCAGAGGGCAGUUAAGAGUCAACUGCGUUGCUAUAGGUCUGGAGUCCCAUGCAGACCAGACCAGAUCCCAGUGAUCAGUGCCAAAGCCCCAUUGCCUGUGGAGAAGGUGAUGUUUGACUUCCUGUACAGCUGCAGUUCAUGUGGUGAAGGUGCUCCCACAAUGUGGUUGGGGUGCUAAAUGGUGAAGGUUUACAGACUGAAAUCUCAAACUCGUGCAGAUCGUGAUUAAGUUAACCAGCAUUUGAAGAACCAAAAAUGGGGAAUAACUUGGCCAAAAUCCAGCAACACUCUCCCACACAGCAUUGUUGGUUUUUCUGCACCAAAUGGACUGUGAAUGGUUCAAGACAGCAGCUCACUACCAUCUUCUCAAGGCCGAAUGGUCUCCUCCUGCUGCUAUCUCCCAGUUCCAGUCCAUGAAGCAGCCAGUAACAUGCCGCAGUGAAUUGAAUUCUAACAGCAGCAUUGCCCUGGCAGGAGAGAUUGAGGAGCUUGAAGCUGUCUUCUCUGGAGUAUCUAAACACAAAACACUUCAAAUGAACAAAAUCUUCAAGAGCUCGGGAGGAUAGAUACAAGAAGGAUGUGCUCCUCGGCCGGUGUGCCUGGAAUAAAAUAAGCACUAACUACGGUAUCUUUACCCAGCAUCCCCUUUAGCUGCAUAACUGUUGAAGAUUUAUUUGCUGCUCUAAUUCCACUCUCUCCAUCACUCCCAUUUUUAACUGCUGUAAUGUU
Molecule: long non-coding RNA, 886 nt
Organism: Hemiscyllium ocellatum (epaulette shark)
Lineage: Eukaryota; Metazoa; Chordata; Chondrichthyes; Orectolobiformes; Hemiscylliidae
Exons: 5
Source: RefSeq, a predicted model, not a curated record